GACUGUGGCAGAGGAGGGCUGCUUGGACAUCCAGGACAUGGUUCCAUGACAGGCUCACCCGUUACCUCUCCCGUCAGGUCCUGUGGCGGCAGGAAGCCUUGACCCUCCACCAGCCCAGGCUCGGGUCCAGGCAUAUGAUCUGUUCAGGAUUCACGAUUGGAAACCUGGAUUAGGACUCGAGCCAGCUCUGCCCUCAGCCCUCAGCCACGGAGAGGAACCAGCUUUCAUGAAUGGAAACGUUACAGGGAGCCAUGGCACUUGAAGAAUCAGCGUAUCGAUCUGCUUGAAUGUGGUCACUUUAAUUGUCUCUGACUCUCCGAGGACUGCGAACUGUGUGUGGAGGGCGUGAGACCCGGGACCAGAGCAGGGGCUGAGGAAUGCUUCAAUUAAGGCACCGUCAUCCCUCUUCAGAUUACGGAACGACCACACAGGGGGCUCUGUCACUAACCCAGGGCCUCAGGGGGCUGGACGACGGGCGAGUGCUGAUGGGCACCUCCAUCAUGUGGUCCCUCCUGCCUGUCACUGGAGGUACCCUGCAGGUUCCCUAGGGCUCCGGAUGCCGUUUCCAUGCCUGCAACUCGCAGUUCUUAAGUUUCAUCUGUUCUACUGGCUAAAACAGAAUGCUUCUAGCCCCACUUUUUUCUUAAUCUCAGUUUUGACAACUAAUUGUUCAAGUAAAAAACCAAACCAAAACAAACAAACAAACAAAAACAGUGGAGCCACCUGAAUUCCCACCUUCUGCCUCCAACUUAGCAGCAAGUCCUGUUGGUGUUUCCAGUCGCCCCAGUCCACCGCCAUCUCUCCAGGACCACCCGGGUCGCGUGUCU
This 827-nucleotide long non-coding RNA is filed under the name Marmota monax (woodchuck). The record is from RNAcentral. Lineage: Eukaryota; Metazoa; Chordata; Mammalia; Rodentia; Sciuridae.